Octopus sinensis (East Asian common octopus) is the source of this 257-nucleotide long non-coding RNA. RefSeq lists it as uncharacterized. The transcript is spliced from 3 exons. NCBI's taxonomy places the organism in Eukaryota, Metazoa, Mollusca, Cephalopoda, Octopoda, Octopodidae. The record is from RefSeq and is a predicted model, not a curated record.
UUGGAUUUCAUUUUUUGAGGGGUUGUAAAGAACAAGGUUUAUGAGAAGGAUACCAAAACAGUAAAUGAAUUGAGAUUACAUUUCUGACGCAUUCACUGAAAUUGAUGGAGAUCGGAAUUUAUGCCGCACUGUGUGUCAGUGUUCUGAAGAGGUUUGAAGAAUGUUGCAAUGUUGAAGGAGGACAUUUUGAGCAUCUGAGAGAUUAAACAUUGUCUGCUUCAGAUGUGCAUAAACAAUAUGAUUGAAAGAUAGAAAUU